Molecule: ribosomal RNA, 301 nt
Filed under: uncultured bacterium
Lineage: Bacteria
Description: partial 16S ribosomal RNA
Rfam family: Bacterial small subunit ribosomal RNA
Source: RNAcentral
CAGCCGCCGCGGUAAUGCGUAGGUGGCAAGCGUUGUCCGGAAUUAUUGGGCGUAAAGGGCUCGCAGGCGGUUUCUUAAGUCUGAUGUGAAAGCCCCCGGCUCAACCGGGGAGGGUCAUUGGAAACUGGGAAACUUGAGUGCAGAAGAGGAGAGUGGAAUUCCACGUGUAGCGGUGAAAUGCGUAGAGAUGUGGAGGAACACCAGUGGCGAAGGCGACUCUCUGGUCUGUAACUGACGCUGAGGAGCGAAAGCGUGGGGAGCGAACAGGAUUAGAUACCCCCGUAGUCCCUGUCUCUUAUAC